RNAcentral lists this long non-coding RNA (1379 nucleotides) under Apteryx rowi (Okarito brown kiwi). Its description in RNAcentral is "lncRNA (ENSARWG00000008653.1)". Lineage: Eukaryota; Metazoa; Chordata; Aves; Apterygiformes; Apterygidae. The record is from RNAcentral.
CGCUUGCUACAGGAACCCCCAGGCGUGUUCGUGUACGCAGAAACGCGUCGGUAACGCAGACCCGCGCUCGAGCAGCAGCACAGCUCCCGGUGCGCCGGUCCUUCCCGCUUGUUAAAUUUCCCGUUUCCGAGAAGCGGGUUGUAAACGGUUCAGCCAGCCCCCCUCUCACCGCUUGGCCAACCCCUGGCAGCACCGCUGUCUGAACCAGGGAAAGCUGGUGCCUCGGGAGCCGGGAAGGGCGUCGGGGCGUCCGGCAGAGCCCCUGCGUGUGCCGACGCCUGCUCUUCCCUUGCAGCUCCGCUGCUCCCCUGCGGCCGGGGACGGCCUGGUCGCCGGCACUCGCAGGCCAAGGUUUCGCUCUAAAUGGCCGUGUGAAGCUGCACUGAAAAUAAAAUCCAGUUUGGAGAUUGACGGUAGAAGGUGAAGCUUAACCGACCUAUCAGUUAGUGUCUCUCCUUAUUCCAAGAAGAAGUCAACUCUGGGACACCCAGAGGCAGCACUGCAAAGUGAGAAGCUUCAUUAUGGACAGCAGCAUAGCACAGAGAUACGGGGACAGCCACUGUGUCUCACUGCCCUUUCUCUAAAACCUCCUAUAGAAUCCAUGGCUGGAGGCUAACUGCCACCCACUGUCGUUCUUUUGCUGUCUUCGUGGGAGAGUGGUUCCUGCAUGACAUCUCUCCUUAUGUUGUUAGAUGAAGAAGUCAGCUACAGUGUGCUUAUGACAGUCCUUUACCUAAAGGCCGAUGAAACGCUCUCUACUUUCUGCUCUGUACUGAAGACAGCAGCAAAGGAUGUCACCCAUGUGUUGAGCUUAAGAAUCAAAUGAGCAGUUUGUCAUCUGAAAUGCCUGCAGGGAAAGCCCAAUGACACAGAGCAAUAACGCUUUUCCGUGCUACUGACAAGAAUGAUUCAGUGACCCUCACUAACGCAACCUGCUGAAGUGCUUUCCUCAGCAAGCACGAACUUUGGGAGAGAUGAGCUGGCAAGCCCAGCUGGGUCCCACUGGGAUGUGCUGGAAUAUGUUUUAUUUAUUCUGGGAUUAGAUUUGUAGGUUUUGAUUCAAUCAAUAGAUCUGAUGACUUAAUGUACUAGCUGGGAAGACACAGCCAGUUUCUGAAGCUUCCCUUUCAUGCCUGCUGUCGCCUGCUCUCCUCUUGCCGGUUUAGCCAGGUCGUCACCAGAGCACAAGGGCUCAACCUCUGCAAGGACAGGAGUAACUCUCCAAGUGCAGUGACUGGCUUUUAGGUUAGAACACGCUGCAGAGAGUGUGGUGUUAUUCAUAAUAAUAACGAUUGAAUCUUAACCAUUAGAGGGCUUCUUCCGUCCUACUUGUAGGUGGAGCAUUUUGUCAUAUGUCAAAGAGAACUGAUGAGCAAAGC